RNAcentral lists this ribosomal RNA (579 nucleotides) under uncultured bacterium. RNAcentral describes it as "bacterial SSU rRNA". It matches the Rfam family "Bacterial small subunit ribosomal RNA", at positions 338 to 916 of the family's 1533-position model. The record is from RNAcentral.
CCUACGGGAGGCAGCAGUAGGGAAUAUUGGGCAAUGGAGGCAACUCUGACCCAGCCAUGCCGCGUGCAGGAAGACGGUCCUCUGGAUUGUAAACUGCUUUUGAAUGGGAAGAAUGUGUGGCUUGCGAGCUAUAAUGACGGUACCAUUAGAAUAAGCCACGGCUAACUACGUGCCAGCAGCCGCGGUAAUACGUAGGUGGCGAGCGUUAUCCGGAUUUAUUGGGUUUAAAGGGUGCGUAGGCGGCUUAAUAAGUCGGUGGUUAAAAGUAGCAGCUUAACUGUUUUACAUGCCAUCGAUACUGUUGAGCUUGAGAUAUUUGGAGGCAGCUAGAAUUUCCGGUGUAGCGGUGAAAUGCAUAGAUACCGGAAGGAAUACCAAUUGCGAAGGCAGGUUGCUACGAAUAAACUGACGCUGAUGCACGAAAGCGUGGGGAUCAAACAGGAUUAGAUACCCUGGUAGUCCACGCCGUAAACGAUGAUUACUAGUUGUUGGGGUUUAAGCCUCAGUGACCAAGGGAAACCGAUAAGUAAUCCACCUGGGGAGUACGCCGGCAACGGUGAAACUCAAAUGAAUUGACGG